Molecule: long non-coding RNA, 8519 nt
Filed under: Pelobates cultripes (western spadefoot toad)
Lineage: Eukaryota; Metazoa; Chordata; Amphibia; Anura; Pelobatidae
Source: RNAcentral
CUCACACAUACUUUUAGAGUUUCUGUGCAGCAUUAAUGCUGAAACGCUUUAUAUUGAGGGAUAUACUCCACGGUACCAUCUAUACUGCUCCAACAAUCUCAUUAUUCCUGUUGUGACAAUGCUGUCUUGUUCCAGACAAGAUAACGAACGCUGGGAAUUCUAAGAACAGGCGUUUAAAUCAGGUAAAUUCCGUUGUCAUUUUGUAAAAAUACACGUAUCGUGUUCAGGCUGCAAUAUGUACUGCUCAAUCUACAUAUGUAACUUUAUUAGUCAAUGCAAAAUACUGUUUAUCGUUUAAAUAUCAUGAACUGGCAAAGAAUAACAGCUAUUAAUGGGAUUUAGUGAUGCUUUUUUUUAUACUUGUCAAUUCAUUGAUACAUUUAAAUAUAAUGUAAGUUAGAUGGUUUUUAAGUUUUAAGAGUAUAUUUUAACCCUUUAAGGACCAACAACUCUCCGCAAUCAUAACAAUCUGUUCUUUAAGGAUCUUAUUCUAAAAGUAAAUGACAAACUCACUCGGUUAAUGACAGCUGUGAACGGACAGAGCUACCAAAACUUACACGGCUUUAAAAUUAAGGUAGUGUUAAUGCAAAAUGUGUGUUUAUGUAUGUUAUGUUUAUAUAUAUAUAUAUAUAAUUAUAAUUUAUAUAAGCUAGCAUGUUCUACAGUGCUUUACAAUUAUAGAAUGGGGAUAUUUAAGAAAAAGUAUAUGUGAUUUACUGAAUCUAACAGAUAUCUUUAUAGAUAUGCACAUAUUUCUGUAUAAGUCUAUUGGUUAUCAAACGAAUUCAAAGUAAAAUCUUCAGUCGCUAAACUGUGAAUAGUUACCCUAGAGAGGAGUUUGCAAGUCAUGACAAAAGUAAUCGAGUUUGCAGUAUAGUUCAGUUUGUGGAUGUUUCUCGUUCUGCUACUUUGGUCUAAAUAUUGUAGUUUACCAACCAAUACGAUUAACAGAAUGGUGAAUAAACGUCAAAAUAAUUUAUUCUACAUAAGCACUAUUUACCAUUGCCCACUUGGAGGUUUUUUGAGGCUUUGAAUUGUUGAUUUGUGGUAUUAAUUUACAAUUUCAGCAGGCAUAAUCCUUCCUUUCUCUCACUUUUCCUUUCUGAACUCUCUCCCUCGUUCUCUCUCUCUCUCUUUCUCUAGCUCUCUUUCAUUGAAAAAAUAUUACCAAGCCAGACAAGAUUCAAUGAUGCCAGAAAUAUAUUAAUUAAAAUAAAUCACUCUGUUUACGUUGAUAUUGUAUUGCUUAUUUUGUAUUCUUUCUGUGUAAAUUACCUAUCUACCUUGUCUAAUCAAUUACAGAAUUCCUUUAUCAAUUAAAUAAAUUAUACUGAUAUUAAAUAGAAUGUGUUAUUUCUUUACAACCAUAUUGUGUUUUAUUAAAUAAACUAGUCUUUAUUAAGGUUGGCAAGACUAGUUAUAUCAUUCUGGUAACAGAUUAUCAUAUGAUCAUAUAUAUAUUAUUCAUGUGUAAAUAUUUAUAUUGUUAAACACACAAAGCAGAGGAUGUACAAUCAAAAGUGAAAGUGUAAAUAAAGAAUUAGGACCAGAUGUACAAAUCAUUCAACACCGGAAAUUGUAAAUUGCUAUUGAAGAUAAUUAAAACUAACGAUGUACUUCAUCGGUUCAUCAGAAGAAUCAAAAUACAAGACUGCUGACCCAUCACACGUAUAACCACCUUGGCCCCCCCAAUAAUACACCGGACACCUUCUUAGUGGAUAAGGGCAAUGACCACAGCUUUAAUAAAUAAUAAUCUUUAACAUUAUCCAAAAACCAUGUCAGCUGUUGAGCAACAGACAGUUCUCCAACCUUUUUCCCAAGAGCCUAAACAGCCAGCACUUGUCAUCAACUCCCGUGCAGGCUGUCACCUUCCCAAAGCGACUCUUCGUAUUAUCAGUCUGCUCCUGUUCCCUGCCUCUGCUGACUCCUCCCCUAAUAUCUUUAAAAAAACAAAAAACAUCCAUGUUGCAACAUUAGUAUCCAUUUUAUUCCAGCCCACUAGGCAUGGACAGAAGUCAUGCUCCCCCCUCUCAAGUUGUCCAGUGGGAAACUUUUCUUAUUUUGUGACUUGGGUACGCAGAGCAAAACUGUAUGUUUCAGAUUUCUAUAAAACAGAGUAGAACAUUCUAAUGUAACGUUUGAGUAUGGUCUGGGCUGUGUUCUCCGGACAUUUGUUACUGCCCUCUCCAUUCUCAUGCCUAUAGCUAACUUAAUACAGCUGAAUUAAGUUGGAGAUCAUUAACGAGGUAUCGUCACUCAGCCACUCCACCAUUCUUAAAUACCAUUUCUUUCUUCUUCAUGAUCAUUGUCUCUGUUAAUAGUUUGUAUGUCAGCUACUUGCUACUUGUUGUUAAUUAUCCUUAGUCUAAGAUUCUAAAUCGCUGUGGAAUAUGUUGGCGCUACAUAAAAAUGAUAAAUAAUAGUAAGCGGUGGUAAUGUCUUCAGCUUGCUGUCGAGUAGCGAACCUUGUCUUGUCAUUACUAAAACGCCAGCACACUGCACUAACUUCUUCGCUGAUAAUGAGGAACUUCGCUGAUAAUGAGACCAAGUCCCUGAUAUAUACUGUAGCAACUUUUAAGGUCCUCCUAAUAGCAAAGCGCGUGUCAUCUUAAACCUUUCAUAUAAAGGGUUGGGGUGUUUAAAAGGAAAGAUGGGAGAAAUUAUAAUGGUAUGUUGAAGAGACAGAUGAUGAUAUGGGCGGUUAGGCAAGUGAGUGGCUAAAAUUGGAGUGAUACUGCAAAAUCCAGUGGUCACUACUCCAUCCUAAUUCUCCUUGACCUUUCUGCUACUUUCUGAUACUGACUGUUGAUCAUCAACAACUUCUCUCAUCCUCCGUAAUUUCGAUCUGCGAGCAGGGCCGCCACACAGGGUCUGGGCCCCCUGGGGCUCACCUCCAACUACCGCCCACAGGGUCCGCCUCCAAAUACAGCCCACAGGAAUACACACACAGACACAAACACACACACUGAUACAAAAGGACACAGAUACAUACUAACAGACACACAUACUGAAACAGACAUACAUGCAUACAGGCAUACAUACUGACACACACAUACUGAGACAUACACACAUAUACAGACACCCAGGCAUACAUAGUGACAGACAGACACAUACUAACAUACAUACAGACACAUAUGCAUGAGGACAUAAAGACACAUACAUACAUACACACUGACAUACAUACACACACACAUACAUACAUACACAUACAUUCAUACACACAUACAUUUAUACAUACAGACAUACUGACAGACAUACAGACCCUGACAUCCAUACACACAUACGUUCAGACUGACAUACAUGCAUAUAUACAGACAUACAUGCAUACAGGCAUCCAUACACAAAUACACACAUACGUUCAUAAUGAUAUGCAGACAUACAUUCAUACUGACAUACAGACAUACAUACAUAUAUACAUAUAUAAUGACAUACAGACAUACAUAUAUACAUACAUACAGACAGACAUACAUGCAUACAUACAGACAUACAUACAGACAUACAUAGACAUACAUACAUAGACAUACAUGCAUGCAUACAUACAGACAUACAUACAUACAGACAUACAGACAGACAUACAUACAGACAGACAUACAUGCAUGCAUACAGACAUACAUAGACAGACAUACAUACAUAGACAUACAUACAGACAUACAGACAGACAUACAUACAGACAGACAUACAUACAUACAUGCAUGCAUACAGUCAGACAGACAUACAUGCAUACAGACAGACAGACAUACAUACAGGCAGACAUACAUACAUAGACAUACAUACAUACAGACAGAUAUACAUGCAGACAGACAGACAGACAUACAGACAUACAUAGAAAUACACACACACACACACACACACACACAAACAAAGCUCAUUUUCCAGCCACCCUCCUGUCUCUUACCUUUUCUUUGCAGGAGGGUAGCUGGGGCUGAUGGGAGUAGUCAGCAUGGCUCUCCCUCACUGCGGCGUACGCGCUCCUCCCGCGUGGAGUGAGCUGGGAGGAAGUGACCACUUCCUCCCAGCAGCACUUGCUGCGGCUGCUUUUUUUUUUUUUUUUUUAAAGGGCCCGGUCGCACUAUUACACGGCCACAGUGCUGACCGGGCCCCUGAAGAUAUAGGGCCCAUCGGGUGGCCCUAAGUGCAUGGGCCACCCGAUAGGCCCCAUCAGCGNNNNNNNNNNNNNNNNNNNNNNNNNNNNNNNNNNNNNNNNNNNNNNNNNNNNNNNNNNNNNNNNNNNNNNNNNNNNNNNNNNNNNNNNNNNNNNNNNNNNUGCGGGCCCAGGUGCAAGUGCACCGGCGGCAGUUCCGCCACUACACGUUAUGGAUGUCAACCCCUGAUGGCGGCCCUGUCUGCGAGACUCUAAUCUCUCCUGGUUCUCCUCUUACCUAUCCCCGUGCUUUUUAAGUGUUUCUUUUUCUGUCUCUUUCUCUUCUCCCCAACCCCUCUCUGUUGGUGUUCCCCAAGGUUCUGUCNNNNNNNNNNNNNNNNNNNNNNNNNNNNNNNNNNNNNNNNNNNNNNNNNNNNNNNNNNNNNNNNNNNNNNNNNNNNNNNNNNNNNNNNNNNNNNNNNNNNCUUGGUCCUUUACUGUUCUCAAUCUUUACUGCCUGCCUUGGUAAAAUCUAUUAGUCAUCUCCUGAUCUCUUACAAUCCCUCCUGACGUGUCUCUGACUGCCUCUCUUCUAUUUCUAACUGGAUGGCUACUCACUUCCUAAGCCUUAACCUGUUUAAAACAGAAUCUUUCCUCCCUUAAGUGUUGCUACUCCUAUGUUUGUUUCCCUCCAGUCAAUGUCAAUGGCACUACCACCAGGUCUUCCUCAUAGGCUCGCUGCCUAGUUGUUGUCUUUGACUCAGACCUCUCCCUCAUCCCUCAUGUCCAGUCAAUCACCAAAUCUUGCUGCUUUAAUCUCAAAACAUAGCACGUAUCCACCCCUAUUUAACACUGGAUGCAGCUAAGGUGCUGGUCCAUGUUGCUAUGCUCUCUCGCCUUGACUACUGCAAUCCCCUUCUCAGCGGUCUUACGUUUCCCCUAUUACAGUCUAUAAUACUUGCAGUAGUGAGGCUCAUCUUCCUGUCCACCUGAACCUUCCACACUUCCCCAUUCUGUCAGUCCCUACUCUAGCUUCCCAUAAGAAAUAAGGCUCAAAAUAAAAUUCUGGUACUUAUUUACAAAUCUCUACAUAACACUGCUCCUAUUUACCGAUCCUCUGUAAUACACAAGUAUGUCCUGUCCGGAACCCUAUGCUCUGCUGAAGACCUGCAUCUACCCUUUGUUCGUACUCACACCUCUGAGUCUUCUUCAAGACUUCUCUAGUACUGUGCAGUUCCUAUGGAACAUGCUUCCUUGCCCUGUUAAACUCUCACCCAGUCUCCGUUCCUCCAAAAAUCAUUGAGAACUCACUUCUUCAGGAAAGCAUAUCAAUUAAGCUGUUAAUAGCUUUCCCUCCUCGCACCUCGGUAUCCCACUUUGUGUCCUCUCCUGCAAAAAGUAUGUAUCCAAGAGUAUGUGUUAAGGAAGGACAAGACAUUUCAAGCCCAGGUAGGGCAAACUGGGGUGUAGUCUAAGGGAUCAUUGUCAAGUGGUGGCAUCUUGAUGCUCAAGCCACAACAACAUACUUAUUCAGGAAGUGACAUUGCAUUACUUUCAGAACAGGAAACAAACCACGUUCAGAACAAGCAAAAGACAAGAUAGAAAACAUGGCUACUGAGAAACUGCACAAUAACCUUCCCAAUGAGUGUAACAUAACUAGUAUAAAACAGCUAAUCAUAGUAAUAUAAAAAGGUGUAACUAUUAUACCUACUGUUACAAGAUAACUAGAGAAUUACUUUAGUUUUGUACAAUUUGGAGUUUAGAAAAUAAACCUGUUUUGUGUACAUGUAGAAAAAUAAUAAAAAGUCAUCAAUAAUUAAAAGGGGACUCUUACCACCCAAACCAUUAUAUCUUAAUGCAGUGGUUUUGGUGCAUAGAUGCUGAACCUUUGUCUGACUUUGUAAAACAUUACUGAUUCUAAUAAAUGUCAAUGUUUAACAAAAAGGUCGCAGGCAAAUGCCUACAAUACAUUGUUUACAAUAGCACUUUCCCCAAUGUGAUUGAUACUUUUUGGGUGCUGGUAAGACUCUAAUGAAGGUGUUUUGUGAAAUGUAUUUUUUUGGACAUCUUAUAUUAUAAUUAAAGAAUGGGCUUCUCAUCUAACUCUACAAUAGACAAUUGGCUUACCAUUCUAAUGCCAUGUGCAUAUUUUAAUACCCUGAUCAAUGAAGGUUAUAACCACUGCUCAACGGUGUAAAAUAAAAAUAGCUCAUGUACAGGUGAAAUAUCUGGAAUUGAUUGGUUCUAUAUCCAAUAUAUCACAGAAUGCUAUUUCAAAAUACUCACUGACAAAUCUUCUUGUGGUACUGUAUACAGAGAUAUAUAUACAAAAACUAAUAUGAAAUAAUAUAUUAAGAUUCAGAGAUGCUACAGGGUGGGCCAAAAUUCAAAGUGAGAUGUGACGGGUAAAUAAUUUGUUAGUAGUUCAAUGUUUUUGUUGCAGGUACAUAUUAUAACUGACUUGUGGGAGAUUCAUUAUGGGUAAUUUCACAAAGGAACAACGAAUUAGCCAGAGAAAACAUGAAUUUAUGUUCAUCAACUCAUAAUGUUUGAAGAUCAUUUUCAUCUAAAUGGCUUUGUUAAUAAGCAAAACUGUAGUUUCUAGGGAACAGAAAAUUAACAGCUAAUUCAUUAGUGCCUGCCAAAUGCACCAACUGGUGCGGGGUGACGUUGCAGCAAGUUAUCAGGCAGAAAUUUGAGUGCUAAAGCCAACUAAUGUCAUGAACAAUGCAAUUGAAAGAGUAAGACCUUGCGAGUCUGCAAAUGGAGCUCAUUUAAAAGAUGUCAUCUUCCGUACUUUGUAAAACAAAUCUCUAUAUGUUAAGCAAUCAUUGUAUGUAAUAUCAUUAAAAUUGGUUCAUUAAAGGACCACUAUAGGCACCCAGACCACUUCAGCUUAAUGAAGUGGUCUGGGUGCCAGGCCCAGCUAGGAUUAACCCUUUCUUCUAUAAACAUAGCAGUUUCAGAGAAACUGCUAUGUUUAUAAUAGGGUUAAUCCAGCCUCUAGUGGCUGUCUCAUUGACAGCCGCUGGAGGCGCUUCCGCGCUUCUCACUGUGAUUUUCACAGUGAGAAGACGCCAGCGUCCAUAGGAAAGCAUUGAGAAUGCAUUCCUAUGGACUGGCUGAAUGUGCGCGCGGCUCCUGCCACGCAUGCGCAUUCAGACGAUGACGGCGAUAUGGAGGAGGAGAGAAGGAGGAGAAAAGGAGGAGAGUUCCCCGUCCGGCGCUGGGGAAAGAGGCAAAUUUAACCCCUUCCACCCCCUAGAGCCCGGCGGGAGGAAAAACAGGAAAACGAGUAUGUUUGGCACUAUAGUGGUCCUUUAAUAAAACAAAAGUGACACCUCAAACACCUUUCUAAUUUUUGGCACAUCCUGUAUAAAUUGGCCUAGAACGUAUCAGAUUCAAAUUAACACCGUAUCCUAUAUUUUUUUCCAUGUCAGAAGAGAACAUUUUCUAAAAAAUAACAUGACAGACACAUAUUUCUAAUGCAUUGUAAAGGUAAACAAUUAAAAUGCAUGCACGGAAACAAUUAAUUUAAAAAAUAAAAUUGUAUUUGUGAUUUUAUGCUUAUUAAAUAUAUAAGGAUAAAAAAUAAAUUAAGAAGAGUAACAAAUUGAUUUUUCUUUUACAUUUUAGCUGAUAUCUCCAUAGUCAAAUUUUACUAAAUGCCAUCCACAGUAUACUUUAAAGGGACAAUAUAGUCACCUAAACAACUUUAGCUCAAUGAAGUAGUUUUGGUUUAUAGAACAUGCCCCUGUAGCCUCACUGCUCAAUUCUCUGCCAUUUAGGAGUUAAAUCCCUUUGUUUAUGAACCCUAGUCACACCUCCCUGCAUGUGACUUGCACAGCCUUCCAUAAACACUUCCUGUAAAGAGAGCCCUAUUUAGACUUUCUUUAUUGCAGGUUCUGUUUAAUUAAGAUUUUCUUAUCCCCUGCUAUGUUAAUAGCUUGCUAGACCCUGCAAGAGCCUUCUGUAUGUGAUUAAAGUUCAAUUUAGAGAUUGAGAUACAAUUAUUUAACUCCUAAAUGACAGUGAAUUGAGCAGUGAAAUUGCAGGGGGAAUGAUCUAUACACUAAAACUGCUUUAUUUAGCUAAAGUAAUUUAGGUGACUAUAGUGUUCCUUUAAUUUAGUCAAUGAUUAUUGCUGUUUUUUUAUACAGAUUGAUUGCCUGUCUCCUUCUUCACCUGGUUUCAAAUAUCGCAAUCUUGUCUUUCUUUAUUACAGGAGAAGAUCAUCAAAGGAUGUGAAGACACUAUUUAUGUCAUGGAUGUGUUACAGAACCCAAUUUAUGUCUAAUUUUUCCAUUAACAUAAUAUACUGCAAAAUAAUAAUAUGGGAAAUGAUUAUGAGUAAUCCAUUUAAAGUAUGGAAACUUUCGCAGAGGUUGAAGGUUCCUCUAGUCAUUCCACACUGUUCAAGUGUUCUUUAACAUCUAAG